GGCUCUUUGAAAUUGAUAGAUAAAGAGUCAGACCUGCCCAGUGAAAAUUUUUAACGGCCGCGGUACUCUGACCGUGCAAAGGUAGCAUAAUCAUUUGCCUUAUAAUUGAAGGCUUGUAUGAAUGGUUUGACAAGAAUAUAGCUGUCUCUAUAUAAUUUGAUAGAAUUUUAUUUCGAAGUGAGGAAGCUUGGAUAAAAUUGAUAGACAAGAAGACCCUAUCGAGCUUUAAAAGAAAUUGUGGAAGUACAAAAAUAAAUUUAGAAAAAUAUCUGUGAUGAAUUUUAGUUGGGGCGACUUAGGAACAUAUGAAGCUUCCUAGAUUUAAAAAUGAGCAAAGUGAUCCAAAAUUUUUUGAUUAAUGAAAUUAGUUACCGUAGGGAUAACAGCAUAAUCUUCUUUAAGAGUUCUUAUCGAAAAGAGGGUUUGUGACCUCGAUGUUGGACCAGAAUAUCCUAAAGAUGUAGCAGUCUUUAAGGGUUGGUCUGUUCGACCAUUAAAAUUCUACG
Molecule: ribosomal RNA, 506 nt
Filed under: Pyrene flava
Lineage: Eukaryota; Metazoa; Mollusca; Gastropoda; Neogastropoda; Columbellidae
Description: partial large subunit ribosomal RNA
Rfam family: Bacterial large subunit ribosomal RNA
Source: RNAcentral